GGCUAGUAUAUUGAUUUAAAAAUAAAGAAAUAAAUGCUUGAAAGAAAGGACAGGUUAAUCAGGACCGUGAUUUCAUGUCUUAUCUGAAAGAUAGCUCCAUGUUGGGCACUGGUUCAAUAGAAACUAUCAAGGAAGAGCAUUACAUUAAUUACUAGUUCUUUACAACAUCUGGGUUUUCUUAGAGGCCUGUUUGUCUUCCAGAUACAAACUCUACUGGUUCAUAAGAAAACAUGAGAUCAUACUCUUAAUGACUUGCAUAUACUGGUUUACCAGUCUUAAUCAAAACUGGAUUUCCUUUAACUGUAUUGUCUUGCCAAAAACUGAAUUAGGUGUAUGGUUCUCAGAAAAUAUCUUUGGGAACUUGAGAAGAGAUGCUGUAUUUUAUUGCUUGACACAAACAACACAACUGACCACAAUACUUCAUGAUGACCACAGCGUAGUUAGUGCAGGUGAGGUCAUGUGGAAUAGUACUUUGCAUGUACUUUAAAGUGAUGAAAAUGCAUGCAUAUGCACUAUAGAAGAGGAUGCUUCCCUACAGACCUUUCCUGUUGUGCAGAGUUCUCCAUGUCUGCACAUUAUCCGUCCUAGUGUUUUUUCAUCGCUUUAUUAGGCUGCUAAACUCUACAGCAAAGUAAUAGCAAGAAAAAUACUAUUCUAUAUAUACACAUACCUCUACCUAUUAAUUAUCAGAGAAGAGUCACUGAAGUUUAAGCUAGUUUUCUCUCUGAGUGCUGGGAGAGCUCAUAUGUAUACAGCUGAUGCAUAGUGGAAGCUGGCAGAAAUAUUUGCUUUCUGAGUGACCUUCCUAACUAAUGAGCAGUUGCGAGUUACAGUCACAGAAUAGAUAAAUCAGGAGACAGUUGCAGAAAAAACUUAGAAAAUGAUAGUAGAACAUAGGGACAUCAAUCUUUCUACUUUGGCUUUAAUAUCUCAAGGCUGCUGAUCCGGGCUGGAGACAGGAAAUCCCUGGUGCCAGAUAUAAAAUGAGUAAGGCCAACUCUUGGGAUGGCUGGGUGAUUGCAGGUAGAAAACUCCCAAGCAUCAAGUCCUCCUCGUUCCUUGUUUCUUAUGUCCCUUGUUUCUAAUGCAUUCUUCUUAUGACCUCUUUCUCCUGCCACAUUUUAGCACUUUUUCUAACGCCUAUAGCAGUAAUGUGGAAUUUUGUAUGUUUAUUUAAAUCAGGAGAAAUGUUGAUGAAUCUCCUUGUGUUGGUUGGUCAAAUAUUAAUGAAGGUAGAAGUUCAAGACAGGACAGGCUCCAUUUUUGGUACGUAAGACAGUUAAAUCAGAAGAGCAGUGCUUUCUUCUGUCUUCAAUCAUGAUUCUUAUUAACCAGCUUCAGAAGGCAGAGUACAACUGGUCCUUUGCUGUUCUCUGGCUCUUUGCCUUAUCUAGCCAGCAGGACUACUGGUGAAUGUCAGCAGUACUGCAGAUCACUUUAUUUCCUUAAAAAUAUCGUAGUGAUAAUGCUGUUUGUCUUUCCCUGAUAACAUUUGAAUCCAUUAGCCAGCUGCAAACAAAUGUGGGAGAGAGGAAGGUACAGCAACAGCAGCCUGGAGACUGAAGAUGAACCUCCUUGUGCGGAAGAAAUCGAUUAUAACACUGACAGUUGCUCUGAUGGCGAAGGGGACUUCUCAGAUCUAGACCAAGAGAUCCAGGAGUGCCUCUCGUGGGUGGAAGGAGAGGCAGAAGAUGAGAGAGAGACCACAGGACAGACAUGCAGCUCCAAAGCUCUCAGGGGACUUUACAUUUCCAACCAGCCAGCAUCCAGCAGUACGGCUCUGCCUCUGAGUUCUGCACCACUGGGAGUGUACAGCGGGUUUGAGAGCAGCCCUGCAUGAGCAAGACUUUGACUUUCAGAGCAGUAAGGCGAAUGGGCUACUGCUCAUAUUUGUCUGUUUGCCAGCUUCAGCAUCCUUCCCAGAUAUCUUGCUCCAUUUCUGCAUUGAAAAUGGUCUUUAUGUUUGUGUGAUCUGUAUACAUGUAUGUAUUGAGAUUGUCUCCUUGAGCUUUCUUUACAAGGCAGAGAUGAGGGGCCAUUUGCAUUGACAUCGUCCUUUCCUAAACAGAAUCCCCAUCCCAUGGCUGCCUCUAGUGUGUGGAUUCACAUAGGUUGAUAUGGGGAAUGUUUUUCUGACUUUUGAAGGAGCAUCCUUUUUCCUGGCUUAGGCUUUUAUUAUGGACAGCAGCCUUUGCCCACACAUCUCGGAAUUACAGCAGUUUGUGAGGCCUUUGGCAAGAGCUCUCUGUUACCAUUCAUUUCUCUUGAGCUGUAGAGCAUGCAUCUGAGUUCUGAGAUCAGAAUUUUGACCAUGUUUUCAGCAGUUUGGGUCAGGCUAUGCAUGUGCCUGAACUGGUUGUAUCUCAGCAACAGCAUGUGAAAUCCAAUGUGCCAGAGUAAGGAGAGCACCACCAUACAGAGCAGUCCUCUGGAAACCUGGGCUAAAUUCACCUCUUUGCUGCACUGGAAUGAACUAGUCCAGCAUAAUCUCAUUCGAGCCACUUCAUGCUUGAACUUAUGGGCCCAAGUGGAAGAAUAUGUUUCAUGAACAUCUGAAUGAUACUCUAAGAUUCUCUGUGAGACAUCCUUCCAGCAUGAUGCACUGUGGGAAUACAGAUACUGUUUAUGGCUGCUGCUGGGACUGAGAGUGGCUGGAAGCAUUGCAAGGAGAAAAACAUGUUCUCUGGAGGUAGCUGGGGCCCUCCAAUAUUAUGUCAAUUGGAUUAGUGAUGGUGGCAAUAUCCAAGGGUGAAUUUAGCCCAAGAAUCAGUCUAGUGACUGAUUAUUCUUUGUUAGUUUUAAUAUGAUACCACUAAGGAAAUCUAACUCAUGGAACAGGACCCUAUUGUGCUGGAUAGCAAUAUAACAGAAGACAUUAAUGGUAGGUUAUAUAUAGGAUGCAUUCUUCUGGUGAUUCCCAUAAGGGAGCAACUUACUUUAUCUCCAAAUGGAAAAACAAAAAAACAAAAAAACAAAAAAACAAAAAAGAGAUUUCUCAUAAAAUUGCCUGCAAAAACAGAUCUUGAUUUUAUAAAGUGCUCUCUUACAGAAUAGGUAACAUAAGAAUGUCUUUGCAAGCCUGAUUCCACCAGCAUUAGAAUUUACUGUGCUUUCACACAGAUGUCCAAAGCAAUGGAGACACAGCUUCUUGAGCUCCAGCACAGGCCAAGAACACAAAUGCAUGCCUGAGGUUGGUAAAGCACAAAGCCUACAUCAGAGCACUUCACUCCUCAUACUGCCUGUAUUUGUCACGUCUGACACUCUGCUGCUGCCCAUGGGGAAUUGCCCUGAACCCAGAUGGAGGUAAUUGCACUGUGCAAGAGGCUCCCAACUCUGUCACUGUUGUCUUUAUAAGGCUCAAGGAGGACAAACAUAUAGUGCGUUGUAGUAUUACAGACUAUAAGACUUCCAUCUCUGGUGAUUACUGUUAUUAUUGAUGUGUGAUUAAAAGCACCCUGUAAUCCUCUCAUCUUUAUGCUGUUUGUGGAGAGAAUUUCUUGUGCCAACUGAGGCUUUUUUUCUGAUGAAUUUGUGAACGCCUUCCCCCAAACUGCCUGGCCAUACAUUUCCAUCAGCAGCCAGCGCUAUGGAGAAACUAUUCCUUCCUGUCCUGCUGGAGUUUUGGUAUCCUGGUGUUCUAAAGCCUUCACCACUAAAUAACAGUUCUCUGUUUUUCUAGCUCUCUCUUUAUGACAGUGCUCAAAAGACAGGCAGCUUGGGUCCUCAGAAGCUGAGCUUCGUAGACCGAGCUAAUUCAUUAGAUAUAGUGUGUGUUCUCUGUACAGAUAUCAUGUUCUGCUUGCCUUAGCGUGCAGCUUGUUGCAUACAAUACUGAAUUUUCAUAAAAGGAUGGCUCACAGGAAUGGACACCAAUGAGGUAAAACAGGUGUUCCCAUUGUAAUAGUUUGUAUAGCGUUUCUUAAAAGCUUAUUAUUAAAAAAAAAAUGGCAUAUGUGCAUAGCUAACUUCAAAUUCCAACAUUCAUAUGCAUGACAAAACACUCACACUGUGCUGGAUCCAGCCUGCAGCAUAUACAGGACAUGGUGUAAGAUCUUCAGCAUUCAGAGUGGCCCCAGGAUACUGGCUGGGCAAAAAGCACUACUGGGAAUAUACAUCUAUAGAUGUGAAUAUCUAUAAGGGCUACUCCAAAAAUAAUGCCUCCUGUUUUAUUAGUUUGAUCUGCCAAAGGCAGAUGUUGAUGGUACGGCAGCAGAGGUUGAACCUUUCCAGCAAUAUUCCAUUAUAUUUUGUUGCCAUGUGACAGAUGGCAGCAGAGGGGCAGUCUGACAGAACGUUGUCUGAUGUGGGAACGUGUAUGAAGCAAAGGGGUGGAACUGAAUUCCUGCAUGGGGAAAAAAUAACACCCAUUGACACUGACACCUGCUGAAUGUUUAUGGAGACCAGUCAGUGGAUGUGAGCACACUGAGGCAGUGGGUGGUGCGAUUCAGCAGCGGUGGCAAUGACAGUGGGUCACCUCCACUGAGAAAAUGCAUAGCCAAUAGUGGAAGCUACACUGAAAAUCAUGUUUUGUAGCUGAGAAUUUGCUCUAUCAAAUAGAUGUUGUACUCUCUGUAUCUGUUGUAGUUUCUGUGGAUAUAAGCAGGGAGCAUUACUUUUGGAGCAACCUUUGUUCAUCUAGAGCUUCUGUUCCCUCCCACACUACGUUCUGUACCAACAUCCUUCCACAACAACAGUGGUACAGUGCUCCCUGAUGUUUGCCAAAGGUGCAUCUUACUGAAAAGGAAAAUAAAUCAGUGUUUCUCUUACUGCGACACCGGUAUUUUAGCUAUUGUGCUGCUGUGUAAUAGAAAACACCUGGCCCAGGCUUCUCCUUGACAACUUCCGUGUUGUACCAAAUAACUUCUCAACAAGGGGCGAUGGCACAGCAGGAGGUGGUGGGCAGGUGAACCCCAAUCCAUGGGUACCCACCCUGUUACUUGGGGAUUGGGAGCAAAGAACAUCCAGAGGGAGGAAGGUUGGGUGACCAACCGGCAGGGAAUGGCACCUGGAAACUUCCAGCAGAAGCAGUUUGGUGGAUUGUGUUGUCUCUUCCAAGAACCUCUAUGGGAAGCAGAUGCUCUUCUUCUUUUGACAGACCUCUAGAGGUCAGGAGAGGACCUCCACUGCAUGCCACUCUCUCCGUUAUUAAAAUUCUCCCUGAGUCAUGGUAAUUAAGCAGAACUAGGUUCCGCACAGAGGAACGGAAGUGCAUUGACUUUAAUAAAACAGAGUGUAAAACAA
Coturnix japonica (Japanese quail) is the source of this 5241-nucleotide non-coding RNA. NCBI's taxonomy places the organism in Eukaryota, Metazoa, Chordata, Aves, Galliformes, Phasianidae. The record is from RefSeq and is a predicted model, not a curated record.